AGACCGCGCCGGAGGGGACGGCAAUGGCGAAGGCGACGAAUUCUCCUCCUGCAAUUCUGACGAAGACAAUGACGAUGCCUGAUGAUCGAUUCAUGCUGCCGCUCUACUGAUCCUGGUGUUGAUCGAGUUCCAUGUUCCGCUGGAGAUUUGAGCACAGGAGCGUGUCCACCUGAUGACUGAAGUGGACACACAAAUGUCGACUGAAGUUGGAAGCCAUUGAUUCUUUUUUCUGAUCCAUGAGAGUGUUUUUGGUGUCUCAGAGUCCAACAACCUCUGAACCGCAAACCAUGAACUGAUUAUCCUGAUAUUUGGUAAGUUCAACAAGAACCAACUCCUUUUUUUUUUGGUAGUUAUCAUGUGACAUGCUCUUCAUAAUACAUUUUCUGAAAAAAGAGCAUGCUGUUAGUUUGUUAAAAAGGAAAACACCCGCUUCAGUGCUCAGUGUCAGCAUGGUAGCAUUUGAAAAUGUCAGAAAUGUUGAUACCUAGGAGGCAAUGGAGCAGUUCUGCUAGACGAGGGUGUCCUCCUGAAGUACAUCCUGUACCGCCAAGGAAAAAGAUAAUGCCGAGUGAAGUUGGAAUUCAUUAGAUCCUUUUCUGAUCCAGGAGAGAGCUAGUUCGUGAUGGCUUGACAGUCCAAGCACCUCUGAAGCCUGGGGAGAAGACGUGGAAGACGCAAUGGACUACACCACACCGGAUGCUGCUACCAAACUAAGAUGGAGAUGUAAGAUGUUGUUAUGCCGCAAUCACGCCAACUUACCGAGUCCACUGGUGGUGGCCUCUAUAUGCCGCAAAGUGAAGCAGGGAUACAGCCUCUGAUAUUCCUACGCUGCGAAUGUCAGAGUGCAUUGCUCUUUGGGGGCUCAAUAGUCAAUAUAACCGAGGCCAUGAAGCAUGGUACGCCGCCAUUUUGAGAUCUCAGAAGGAGUUUACAAAUGGCAACUGCUGGCCCUGAUGACAACCGGUUCUUAGGGAAUGCAUAGGAUGGAUCAACCUGAUCGGGAGACAUGCAGAUUUUUUCUGAAUACACAUUCUCUUCGUUUACUAGUACUCCCUCUGUUUUUUAGAGAUAAUUUACUAUUAUCCAUUUGUUGCUGCCACUAUAUUUUUGCUUGUUCGUGUACAAAGAAUGAGGGUUGUAUAUGUUGUUAUCCAUGUUGUGCAAAAAUAUGUCGAAGAAAUAAUGCACCAGCUAUAUGUCAUUAACUAUGUCAUUUUCAUUGGUUUCACAUUGCAAA
Aegilops tauschii subsp. strangulata is the source of this 1237-nucleotide long non-coding RNA. RefSeq lists it as uncharacterized. The record is from RefSeq and is a predicted model, not a curated record. NCBI's taxonomy places the organism in Eukaryota, Viridiplantae, Streptophyta, Magnoliopsida, Poales, Poaceae.